RNAcentral lists this ribosomal RNA (494 nucleotides) under uncultured bacterium. Its description in RNAcentral is "bacterial SSU rRNA". It matches the Rfam family "Bacterial small subunit ribosomal RNA", at positions 903 to 1397 of the family's 1533-position model. The record is from RNAcentral.
AAAUGAAUAGACGGGGGCCCGCACAAGCGGUGGAGCAUGUGGUUUAAUUCGACGAUACCCGAAGAACCUUACCUGGGUUUGACAUGUAUUUGACUGGCAUAGAGAUAUGCCUUCCUUUAUGGCAGAUACACAGGUGUUGCAUGGUCGUCGUCAGCUCGUGUUGUGAGAUGUUGGGUUAAGUCCCGCAACGAGCGCAACCCUUACCUUCUGUUGCUACCAGGUAAUGCUGGGCACUCUGAAGGAACCGCCGGUGACAAACCGGAGGAAGGUGAGGAUGACGUCAGAUCAGCAUGGCCUUUAUGUCCAGGGCUACACACGUGCUACAAUGGUCGGUACAGAGGGCAGCGAAGCAGCGAUGCGGAGCAAAUCCCAGAAAGCCGAUCACAGUUCGGAUUGAAGUCUGCAACUCGACUUCAUGAAGCCGGAAUCGCUAGUAAUCGCAGAUCAGCUAAGCUGCGGUGAAUACGUUCCCGGGCCUUGUACACACCGCCCGU